RNAcentral lists this ribosomal RNA (468 nucleotides) under uncultured bacterium. Its description in RNAcentral is "partial 16S ribosomal RNA". It matches the Rfam family "Bacterial small subunit ribosomal RNA", at positions 28 to 507 of the family's 1533-position model. The record is from RNAcentral.
GACGAACGCUGGCGGCGUGCUUAACACAUGCAAGUCGAACGGAAAGGCCCUGCUUUUGUGGGGUGCUCGAGUGGCGAACGGGUGAGUAACACGUGAGUAACCUGCCCUUGACUUUGGGAUAACUUCAGGAAACUGGGGCUAAUACCGGAUAGGAGCUCCUGCUGCAUGGUGGGGGUUGGAAAGUUUCGGCGGUUGGGGAUGGACUCGCGGCUUAUCAGCUUGUUGGUGGGGUAGUGGCUUACCAAGGCUUUGACGGGUAGCCGGCCUGAGAGGGUGACCGGCCACAUUGGGACUGAGAUACGGCCCAGACUCCUACGGGAGGCAGAAGUGGGGAAUAUUGCGCAAUGGGGGGAAGCGUGAUGCAGCAGCGCCGCGUGCGGAAUGACGGCCUUCGGGUUGUAAACCGCUUUGGCCUGUGACGAAGAGUGAGUGACGGUAAUGGGUAAAGAAGCACCGGCUAACUACGUG